UUUGCAACUCCAGCGCACGGACUUGCCAAAAUAAUACCUACAGUGCGUAACACAAAAGUCCGGCCCUCUGAGAUAAAUGACUAUACACACUUAAAACCAUUUCUUGAGCUCGGCAUAAUAAAAUGCCGAAACUGAUCAGCAACACGUAAAUUUGCUGAUUGCUCAGUAAUCAAUACGCAUGUUUCUGAACUUCGUUAAAUGCAUUCACUGAUAUUUCGGUAAAAUGCAUCACUUUGCCGAAAUUUGGCAUAAUUGCUUGCUGAAUUUAUCAGUAAACAACAGAUAUGCCGACAUCAGCAGAGACGUUUGCCGAGAUUUCGGAAUAUGCGCUAGCUGUUGCCGAGAUUCAGCACGACAGCUGUCAUUUAUUGCCGCGUUACAUUUUCGCUUCGCAUUGUGCGAUUAUUUUCUAAUGAAAUUCUCGAGUGAAAAAAUGGAGAAUCUUCGAAGAAGCGUGGAACCGUGUGGAAAGCGUCCUCGAGACAAAACUUUGGGGGAUAUGCGAAAAAAUAACCCAAUGCAAGGAAUAAUUCAAUAGAUCAAACUCGACUCAAGGUGGCCGCAUCUGGAAACGCCGCUUUUUAUUUAUGCUACAUGUUUUCAGGUAGGCUUUAAGCACUACUGGCAACAAAUUUGUAAGCCUCCUUUAAGUGUUAAUAAAAUGAAUUUUUUAUCCUGAA
Long non-coding RNA from Malaya genurostris, 680 nucleotides. RefSeq lists it as uncharacterized. The transcript has 2 exons. NCBI's taxonomy places the organism in Eukaryota, Metazoa, Arthropoda, Insecta, Diptera, Culicidae. The record is from RefSeq and is a predicted model, not a curated record.